AACGAACGCUGGCGGCAUGCCUAACACAUGCAAGUCGAACGAGACCUUCGGGUCUAGUGGCGCACGGGUGCGUAACGCGUGGGAAUCUGCCCUUGGGUUCGGAAUAACAGUUAGAAAUGACUGCUAAUACCGGAUAAUGUCUUCGGACCAAAGAUUUAUCGCCCAGGGAUGAGCCCGCGUAGGAUUAGCUAGUUGGUGAGGUAAAGGCUCACCAAGGCGACGAUCCUUAGCUGGUCUGAGAGGAUGAUCAGCCACACUGGGACUGAGACACGGCCCAGACUCCUACGGGAGGCAGCAGUGGGGAAUUUUGGACAAUGGGGGCAACCCUGAUCCAGCAAUGCCGCGUGAGUGAAGAAGGCCUCGGGUUGUAAGCUCUUUGUCUAGGGAAGAAACGGU
RNAcentral lists this ribosomal RNA (396 nucleotides) under uncultured bacterium. RNAcentral's name for it is "bacterial SSU rRNA". It matches the Rfam family "Bacterial small subunit ribosomal RNA", at positions 29 to 454 of the family's 1533-position model. The record is from RNAcentral.